RNAcentral lists this ribosomal RNA (176 nucleotides) under Archaeosporaceae sp. RNAcentral's name for it is "partial large subunit ribosomal RNA". The record is from RNAcentral. Lineage: Eukaryota; Fungi; Glomeromycota; Glomeromycetes; Archaeosporales; Archaeosporaceae.
UAGCCUACUUUAGAUGGCGUGAUGGGGACUGAGGAUUGCAGCGGAUGCUUUGCUACGAAUCUUGUCUCUGUCGAUCUUCAAUUAGUUUUCAGCUUGCUGAGCUCGGGUUGAUAGGUUUACAAUAGGUUUGAAUUCGUUAAAUUCGCUAAGGAUGUUGACGUAAUGGCUUUAAACGA